This 477-nucleotide ribosomal RNA is filed under the name uncultured bacterium. Its description in RNAcentral is "partial 16S ribosomal RNA". It matches the Rfam family "Bacterial small subunit ribosomal RNA", at positions 28 to 507 of the family's 1533-position model. The record is from RNAcentral.
GAUUAACGCUGGCGGCGUGCAUAACACAUGCAAGUCGAACGAUGAAACUUUAAUGAACCCUUCGGGGAGAAUUAAAGCGGAUUAGUGGCGAACGGGUGAGUAACGCGUGAGUAACCUGCCUUACACAAGGGGAUAGCCUUUGGAAACGAAGAAUAAUACCCUAUAAAACCAUAAAAGCACAUGCAAUUAUGGUCAAAGUGAUAGCGGUGUAAGAUGGACUUGCGUCUGAUUAGCUAGUUGGUGAGAUAAAAGCCCACCAAGGCAACGAUCAGUAGCCGGCUUGGGAGAGUGUACGGCCACAUUGGGACUGCGACACGGCCCAGACUCCUACGGGAGGCAGCAGUGGGGAAUUUUGCACAAUGGGGGAAACCCUGAUGCAGCGACGCCGCGUGAUUUAGAAGGCCUUCGGGUUGUAAAAAUCUUUUGUAUAGGAAGAAAAUGACAGUACUAUACGAAUAAGGUCCGGCUAAUUACGUG